RNAcentral lists this non-coding RNA (871 nucleotides) under Perkinsus marinus ATCC 50983. RNAcentral's name for it is "Eukaryotic small subunit ribosomal RNA". It matches the Rfam family "Eukaryotic small subunit ribosomal RNA", at positions 1 to 867 of the family's 1831-position model. Lineage: Eukaryota; Perkinsozoa; Perkinsida; Perkinsidae. The record is from Rfam by way of RNAcentral.
CACCUGGUUGAUCCUGCCAGUAGUCAUAUGCUUGUCUCAAAGAUUAAGCCAUGCAUGUCUAAGUAUAAGCUUUAAACGGCGAAACUGCGAAUGGCUCAUUAAAACAGUUAUAGUUUAUUUGGUGAUCGAUUACUAUUUGGAUAACCGUAGUAAUUCUAGAGCUAAUACAUGCGUCAAGGCCCGACUUCGGAAGGGCUGCGUUUAUUAGAUACAGAACCAACCUAGGCUCCGCCUAGUCCUUGUUGGUGAUUCAUAAUAACCCGGCGAAUCGCACGGCUUGUCCGGCGAUGGACCAUUCAAGUUUCUGACCUAUCAGCUAUGGACGGUAGGGUAUUGGCCUACCGUGGCGUUGACGGGUAACGGGGAAUUAGGGUUCGAUUCCGGAGAGGGAGCCUGAGAAACGGCUACCACAUCUAAGGAAGGCAGCAGGCGCGCAAAUUACCCAAUCCUGAUACAGGGAGGUAGUGACAAGAAAUAACAAUACAGGGCAAUUCUGUCUUGUAAUUGGAAUGAGUAGAUUUUAAAUCUCUUUACGAGUAUCAAUUGGAGGGCAAGUCUGGUGCCAGCAGCCGCGGUAAUUCCAGCUCCAAUAGCGUAUAUUAAAGUUGUUGCGGUUAAAAAGCUCGUAGUUGGAUUUCUGCCUUGGGCGACCGAUCCACCUUUCCUACGGGAUUGGUUGGUAUCAGGUUUGACCUUGGCUUUUUCUUGGGAUUCGUGCUCACGUACUUAACUGUGCGUUGACCGUGUUCCAAGACUUUUACUUUGAGGAAAUUAGAGUGUUUCAAGCAGGCUUAUGCCAUGAAUACAUUAGCAUGGAAUAAUAGGAUAUGACUUCGGUCAUAUUUUGUUGGUUUCUAGGACUGAAGUAAUG